RNAcentral lists this long non-coding RNA (1328 nucleotides) under Nicotiana tabacum (common tobacco). RNAcentral's name for it is "long non-coding RNA (NTAB_LNC011349)". The record is from RNAcentral. Lineage: Eukaryota; Viridiplantae; Streptophyta; Magnoliopsida; Solanales; Solanaceae.
UUUAUCACAAAAUUAUUAUCAGUACUACUAGGUAGUAAUUAACCGUGAUUAAUCCUCCACUCUAUAGUCCUAUUCUGAGUCUUCUCCAUUACAGCGCAUUUUGUCGCUAUAAAUUAAUUCUUCCUCUUUGAUCGGACACGACGUUCGUAAAACAAAGAAAGACUUUGAAACAAAAAGCCAAAUACAUACAUGUAAAGUGUUAAAACUGCUCCUUCUAUCAACAAUUAAAUGAAUAGUACACUGGUAAGAAUUCCGCAUAUCUUUUUCUAUUUUUCUCUCAUAAUAAUGUGAACUUUUAUAUGAGAUUUGUCUCGGCAAGUUAUGUCACUAAGGAAAAAAUGUGAAUAUAUAUAGUAGCGUACUAGACUUCACCUACAUAAGUAGAAGCAUUUAAGUAUCACUUGAUAUUUCUUAUUAAUUUUUCAAAUCUCAUGCAUCUUGUUAACUUACUUAGGUACAAUAUUUAUUCAAAAGACACGACAAGUUGAAAGAGUUUCGGUAGUUACAUUUUUUAUAAGAAAGAAAGCUUAGAGUGCCAUUUAAGAUUAGAUAGUUUUCAGAUAUAAAAUAUAACAAUCUUUUUGAGACAGGCUAGUAGUAACAUAAACUCAUGCGGAUGGAGUAUAUCUACAUGUAUAUGUGUGUGUAUAGAGAGAGAAUGAGAACUUGGCAGUACAACAUUACAUACAUUUGUAUGCUUGGCGCCUGCAAAACUGUGGUGCAUUAGUUAAUGUUGGGAAACGUGUCAGGCUAAAAGGAAGGGAAAAAUAUAUUUAAAGAGAAAAACAACAAAUUACACUAGACAAGACAAGACAAAAUUUACGUGGUUCGAUAAUUUUCUAACGCAUUCGGCCACACAAAGAAUAACUCUUUAUUAAUUGAAGAGAGAAAGAAGAAGUUGAGAGAUGAUAUGCAAAUGAAAAUGUAUACCCCUUUUAUAGGCAUUUGAAUGCCCUGCCGAUGUAAGCGCUUACAUCAUAAGAAUGCUGACGUAAGCGCUUACAUCAUAUUUUUAUCUUCUUCUUUUUUUUUACUUUUUUUCCUUUCACAUACAACAACAGGUUUGCUCCUAUCAAUCUCCCCUUCAAACCUAUGUUACGUCAAGAAAGAAAUUAAAAAAAGAUUUGCUAUUCUCUAGUGGCGCCUUUAUACUAUCAGUCCUGAAGGCUAACUGAGGCAGAGCACAUCCUCAGUUUGUCAACACCGACAACUUUGGUUAGCAUGUCUGACGGGUUCUUCGAUCCUGGUAUUUUCUGCAGGGAAAGAGUUCCUUCACUUAUCAACUCUCGGAUAUGAUGAUACCUCAACUGGAUGUGCUUUGAUAUUGC